AUGCCGCGGUGAAUACGUUCCCGGGCCUUGUACACACCGCCCGUCACACCACGAGAGUUUGUAACACCCGAAGUCGGUGGGGUAACCUUUAUGGAGCCAGCCGCCUAAGGUGGGACAGAUGAUUGGGGUGAAGUCGUAACAAGGUAGCCGUAUCGGAAGGUGCGGCUGGAUCACCUCCUUUCU
Molecule: ribosomal RNA, 183 nt
Filed under: Priestia flexa
Lineage: Bacteria; Bacillati; Bacillota; Bacilli; Caryophanales; Bacillaceae
Description: Bacillus flexus partial 16S ribosomal RNA
Rfam family: Bacterial small subunit ribosomal RNA
Source: RNAcentral